AGAGGUUUUGAUCCUCGGCUCAGGAUGAACGCUGGCGGCGAUGCUUAACACAUGCAAGGUCGAACGAGGAAAGGUGGGUGGUUUACCUAGGUGGACGGAACGGGUCGGAGUAAACCGGCGUAAAGAACCGUAGCCCUUGGGAGGGGGAACAAACAACUGGAAACGGUUGCUAAUACCCUGUAGGCUGAGGAGCAAAAGGAGAAAAUCCGCCCAAGGAGGGGCUCGCGUCUGAUUAGCUAGUUGGUGAGGCAAUAACUUACCAAGGCGAUGAUCAGUAGCUGGUCCGAGAGGAUGAUCAGCCACACUGGGGCUGAGACACGGCCCAGACUCCUACGGGAGGCAGCAGUGGGGAAUUUUCCGCAAUGGGCGAAAGCCUGACGGAGCAAUGCCGCGUGGAGGUGGAAGGCCUACGGGUCGUCAACUUCUUUUCUCGGAGAAGAAAACAAUGACGAUAUCUGGAGGAAUAAGCAUCAGCUAACUCUGUG
Molecule: ribosomal RNA, 485 nt
Filed under: uncultured bacterium
Lineage: Bacteria
Description: bacterial SSU rRNA
Rfam family: Bacterial small subunit ribosomal RNA
Source: RNAcentral